AGAAAAUCGUCAAUUUCUUUAUCUUCUCUACUCAAAGAAAAGUCGGAUUCACCAGCGGUAGGACCGGCAAAAGCAACAGCCUCCAGUUUAUUAAUAUUUUCAAUAUCAUCAACUAUGCUAUUGUUUUGAGGUGAGGUAGAAUACAUAUCUGAUCCUGCGCUAUUUCCACCGUUAGGAUAUCUAUUAUAUGUCUGAGAGCUGGGUCUAAUAGAGAAUCUAUGGGUAUAGCCACUAGCUCUUGUUCCGCCGACACCGGCUGCCAAGGCUGCACUGCUAAAUGUAGCGUUGGAGGCAUUGUUGUACAACAGACGAGUAGAGGAAUCGGUGGGAUUUGUGAAAGAAGAAGUACUGGUGUCUCUCGAAGCGUACAUAGAACCAAUCUCAUUCACGUUACCAUCCGAAGGGGUUUUGCGAUUUAAAUCGCCACGUACAUUAUACAUGAUAAAUCCAACGAAACCAGUUAAAUCCCAAGAAAGAAGAACAAAAAUGAAUGAAAAGAAAGCUUAGUUAAAGAAGAUUUCGCGCUUAGACACGUAACCACAAAAAGUCUUCGCUGAGUUGUGACAGCAAAUAGUCUUCAAAAUACUUCCAGCAAGUAAAAAAAAAAAAAAAACGUUAAACAAAAAACAAAAAGAAUCUAAAGGAAAAAGAUGAUGAGCCUCAAUCUCGAGAACGAAAGCUAAUUCACUUGAAAAUUUUCCUUUUUCUUGUAAAGUGCUCGAAAGCACUUUUCGCGUAAACG
Non-coding RNA from Schizosaccharomyces pombe (fission yeast), 742 nucleotides. The record is from the annotation of a GenBank genome assembly. NCBI's taxonomy places the organism in Eukaryota, Fungi, Ascomycota, Schizosaccharomycetes, Schizosaccharomycetales, Schizosaccharomycetaceae.